GAUGAACGCUGGCGGCGUGCCUAAUACAUGCAAGUCGAGCGAACAGAUGAGGAGCUUGCUCCUCUGACGUUAGCGGCGGACGGGUGAGUAACACGUGGAUAACCUACCUAUAAGACUGGGAUAACUUCGGGAAACCGGAGCUAAUACCGGAUAAUAUAUUGAACCGCAUGGUUCAAUAGUGAAAGACGGUUUUGCUGUCACUUAUAGAUGGAUCCGCGCUGCAUUAGCUAGUUGGUAAGGUAACGGCUUACCAAGGCAACGAUGCGUAGCCGACCUGAGAGGGUGAUCGGCCACACUGGAACUGAGACACGGUCCAGACUCCUACGGGAGGCAGCAGUAGGGAAUCUUCCGCAAUGGGCGAAAGCCUGACGGAGCAACGCCGCGUGAGUGAUGAAGGUCUUCGGAUCGUAAAACUCUGUUACUAGGGAAGAACAAAUGUGUAAGUAACUAUGCACGUCUUGACGGUACCUAAUCAGAAAGCCACGGCUAACUACGUG
RNAcentral lists this ribosomal RNA (497 nucleotides) under uncultured bacterium. Its description in RNAcentral is "partial 16S ribosomal RNA". It matches the Rfam family "Bacterial small subunit ribosomal RNA", at positions 28 to 507 of the family's 1533-position model. The record is from RNAcentral.